GAAAAGAAAGAGGAAAACACAGGAAGAACCUCCUCCCUCUAUUAUUUCUUUGUAACUGUUGCUCCUCGGCUUCUUUAUUUCUUCUUCCUCUCUUUUGGUCUGUUUUUUUCCUUUCCUCUUCUUCUGUGGUUUUACAGACUCAGGUGAGAGAUGGGCUGUGGAAAUUCCUCACCAGCCACCACCAAACACAACAACAGCAGCAGCAACAAUACUAGAGGUCGAGCCGAGUCUUCAUCAAAGAUAUCAGAAGAGUCUGUGACAGAGGAAGACAAAUGGAAGGACUAUGGAGGUGUUUAUGUGGGUUUUCCUGCAGACCUGAGCAACAUUCCUCAAGUACAGAUAGGAGCACUCAGAGAGCAUGAGAGAGACCUGACGUCCCUCAGGAGGCCGCUGUGGGGGGACGGAUGCUAAUUUUAAUGAAGAGCCAGGUCCAACAAAAGAAUCAUACGGCAGGAGGAGAAACUCUGCAGGAGUUCGUCGGUGUAUGUCAUCAGGAACUCACCAAGUCUCAAAUGGGAAACAGCAGCACCCAGCGGAGCCAAUCUUCUCUCCCAGCGUCCUCCGUGAGGACUUUAAUGGGAUCAGCUCCACCUGGUUAAACUGGCUGAGGAGCCAAACAAACUGGUUAAAGACAAGUUGUCUUCUAAAACAGCCCUGUAUGGAUGAAGGCGUUUAGAUGGUUACAAGAAGAGGCUUUUAUUCCAGCGGUGGACUCCACUGGAUGCACUUUGUUUGUUGCAUGUUGUGUAGCUGCUUAAUGAAGCGCCAGCAGCAGGUGUUACAGUGAAUGUCCGUCAGCUGAUUGUCACAAAACGGCAGAUAAAGAGGCUGAAGAUGUGGUAGCUCUCCUUAUUUAAGGUCUGACUAUCAUGUAAGACUACAUUUAAGACAUAUUUAAGGAUAAGUGCAGUGAUAUUGAGUCAAUAAAUCCCAUAAAAAGACCAAAACCAAUAAUUGUCUGUGUCUCCAAAUCCUCAUACAUCUUCUUCCUUUAAGCCAUGGAGCUCCAACGGUGUCCAAAAAACUAUUAAAAACACAUCAAUGUGCCAAACGGCUGCACUGAGAAAGGCUCCACAGGAUGGGUUGCCAGGUUGUCAUUGGCCACAAUCAUGAAAAAUUGGCAACCAAUUCUUUGCCUUUGGUUUUGGCACCCACUUUUUUUUACCUGUUAAAAAUAAAAAUAGU
Molecule: long non-coding RNA, 1185 nt
Organism: Anoplopoma fimbria (sablefish)
Lineage: Eukaryota; Metazoa; Chordata; Actinopteri; Perciformes; Anoplopomatidae
Exons: 6
Source: RefSeq, a predicted model, not a curated record